RNAcentral lists this ribosomal RNA (465 nucleotides) under uncultured organism. RNAcentral describes it as "bacterial SSU rRNA". It matches the Rfam family "Bacterial small subunit ribosomal RNA", at positions 29 to 507 of the family's 1533-position model. The record is from RNAcentral.
AGUGAACGCUGGCGGCGUGCUUAACACAUGCAAGUCGAACGAGAAACGGUCUAGCUUGCUAGAUGCAGUCUAAGUGGCGCACGGGUGAGUAAUAUAUAGGUAAUAUGCCUCUUACUAAGGGAUAACAGAUGGAAACGUCUGCUAAUACCUUAUAUGCCUUUAGGACUAAAGUCCGCAAGGGAAAGAUUUAUCGGUAAGAGAUUAGCCUGUACAGUAUCAGUUAGUUGGUGAGGUAAUGGCUCACCAAGACUAUGACACUUAACUGGUUUGAGAGGAUGAUCAGUCACACUGGAACUGAGACACGGUCCAGACUCCUACGGGAGGCAGCAGUGGGGAAUAUUGCACAAUGGACGGAAGUCUGAUGCAGCAACGCCGCGUGGAGGAUGACACAUUUCGGUGCGUAAACUCCUUUUAUAUGAGAAGAUAAUGACGGUAUCAUAUGAAUAAGCACCGGCUAACUCCGUG